UAAGGAGGGACAGCACUUGGGAUGUGCUCUGCCUAGUGUGGUCAGUGCUGCCUGGAUACUGAGGGAAGUCCUCCUGAAACAUGAAUAAUUAUAGGGAUAUUUAUUUUUAUGUCUCCAAUGUCAGGUGCCAGAUGUGACAUCACGAUGACCCAGUCUCCAUCCUUCCUGUCUGCCUCCAGGAGACAGAGUCACCAUCACCUGCAGGGCCAGUCAGAGUAUUAAUAGUUGGUUAGUUUGGCAUCAACAGAAGCCAGGGAAAGCUCCUAAGUGCCUGAUAUAUAAGGAAUCCAUUUGCAAUCUGGGGUCUCCUCAAGGUUCUGUGGCAGUGGAUCUGGGACAGAUUACAAUCUUACGAUCAGCAGCAUGGACCCUGAAGAUGUUGCCACUUAUUACUGUCAACAGCAUAACAGUCACCCUCCCACAGUGAUACAGGCCAUGACAAAAACCUCCCAGGGAGCAGAAGUGUGAGGCUGGGCUGCCCCAGCUGCUCCUCCUGCUGCCUCCACCUGCUGAGGGCACAGCUCAGAGGCACCAGUCUCUGGAGCUCUCUAGUAGACUUUGGUAGGAAGGGC
RNAcentral lists this long non-coding RNA (572 nucleotides) under Marmota monax (woodchuck). Lineage: Eukaryota; Metazoa; Chordata; Mammalia; Rodentia; Sciuridae. The record is from RNAcentral.